This 503-nucleotide transfer RNA is filed under the name Ralstonia solanacearum. RNAcentral describes it as "16S-23S ribosomal RNA intergenic spacer". The stretch from base 61 to 134 matches the Rfam family "tRNA". Lineage: Bacteria; Pseudomonadati; Pseudomonadota; Betaproteobacteria; Burkholderiales; Burkholderiaceae. The record is from RNAcentral.
UAAGAGCGUGCAUCCUAGUUAGGCGUCCACACUUAUCGGUUUGUUUGAUGUUACAGCCAAGGGUCUGUAGCUCAGGUGGUUAGAGCACCGUCUUGAUAAGGCGGGGGUCGUAGGUUCAAGUCCUACCAGACCCACCAAGUUACGGGCGGCGGAGAGCGAUCUUGCCGUGAACUGGGGGAUUAGCUCAGCUGGGAGAGCACCUGCUUUGCAAGCAGGGGGUCGUCGGUUCGAUCCCGUCAUCCUCCACCAACACCUUGUGGUAGCCAAACGCAAGCAUCGAGAGAUCGGUGUUUGCGUUUGGCAUUGCCAAGACGAGUAGUAACUCGGCUGUUCUUUAACAAUAUGGAAUGUAGUAAAGGUGUCGCGGCGCGUUGAUGAGGCGCGCAAUUUAAACGCGACACUGGGUUGUGAUUGUAUCAACCAGUAUUACGAGUGAUCGAAAGACCGCUUGGAAUACAGCACAACGCGAGAACUCAGCCUAUAGCGAGACAUACUCGUUAUAG